Molecule: long non-coding RNA, 1919 nt
Organism: Gadus morhua (Atlantic cod)
Lineage: Eukaryota; Metazoa; Chordata; Actinopteri; Gadiformes; Gadidae
Source: Ensembl
UGAUCUCAAUAAAGUAUUGCUGUUUCCGCCCGGUUUCGAACCGGGGACCUUUCGCGUGGGAGCCGAGAAUAGUCGUCCUUAACUUCCUUAACUUUUCCCAUUCAUUCUCUAUGGUAGUUCUUAUCACUACGGAUGUAAUAUUUUUCUGGCCACAAGCGGGAUUUUGGUGGCGCUGUUUCCCCCCUCGGCAGAAGUAAGGGGAUGAUUUAUUUUCUGAGUGACAGACAGCAUCGAACGUUCUCGGGCGUUGAACGUUCUGGAAGAGUUGACAAUUAUUUUCAUCCGUGGACAAGUUAACUUUUCGCCAGGAGACACCAAGUUAACAACAACAAGUUAGCUUUUCAAUUUGAAAAGAAAUCAUGAAUCCCGUCAGCUUCUUCCCCGGAAAGAUGACGGUGACAUUUAGGAGGGGACCAUCGGGUCAUCUGCGGCAGGACCCAUCCUCUGAGGCCAUGAGGAUAAAACAUAAUCCUGGGCUUCAGGUCAAUAGUCCCGCUGAGAAACCUGAGCUAGUGAAGACCAGCGCUCGCACUGUGGUCAUCCAGCGAGGAGGGGAUGUGUCGGACCGACAGGAGGUGAUGGGAGAGUACCUGCUGCAGUUUGGCAAGUACCAGGGAAAAUCGUUCAAGUGGCUCCUCGAGAACGAUGUUGGCUACACCAUCUACCUGAUGAAAAAGGUAGACGAUGAGGAGAGAGCCGGGACCUUCAACCCACAGGGACACAGUAAGGACAGCCUGCUGUCUUUUCUGGACUAUGCCAGGAGCUUCCAGGAAAUACAGGACCUGAGGAACUACCUGAUCUCCAGGAACCCUGCUGAACCUGUGGCGUCAGAGGGGGACAAUAUUGUCGGCUUUGGUCGCAGGGCCAAAACCACCUGGAGGCAGAUCUGGGAGAGCAGGGCGGAUGGUUAUGCUGCCUACAUCUCACGCCAAAAGUGCAUCAAAAACAGCAAGAUGUACAACCUGCAGCAGUACAUCCUCAAGCAGGAAAGGGCUGAAUCCUGUCCAACACCUGCAGAAGGCUCCACUACAUCUACUGCCUCCAUCCCAACAUCAGGCACUCUAGAAGGCUCCACCACAUCUACUGCCUCCACCACAUCUACUGCCUCCACCCCAACAGCAGGCACUCUAGUGAUGGAGGAGGACGAGGAACUGGAGAGACAGAUGUUGAACCUGUCUCCAUCUUUAUUUGACACCGGAGUAAGCAGGUGGAUCAUCAAGGGUGAAACCGUAACUCUUCCGGUACUUGAUCAAAUGUCCCCGGUGCUUUCAGGCCCACCAGCAGCAGUCCAGGGAAGAGCAGCUGUGGAUCCAACGAAAGGUUUUUCUUCAUCAGUGCGGACGGAGGAUUCUGUUUACAACAGAAUUCACCUGCCGUUACUAUUUUUUGUCAACUAGUUUGUUAUUUUGGCCGUGUUCUGGUCUGUACUGAUGUUUGUGUUCUCUUGCUCUCCAACUAACCAAAGGAAUUAACAUGCCGUCGAAGAUGGUAAGUGUUUUGUGUUAUAUGCAUGCUUCAUUUAAGCUGUCGUUCAAGGAUUUGGCGUGUGAAAUACCACAGAGGCUUAGAUACAGGUUCACAUGCCACAUCUUUGAUUGACCAGUGAUAUUCUUACUAUAUACUUAUAUUGCUUCUGUGCUUUACCUGUUCUCAGAUGCUUAAACGAUUUGUGUUAUUACAUUUCAAAUACACAACAAUUCAAAAUUGAAUGAAAAAUGUUUAGUCUGUGCUACCAGUUAGCUGCAAAGACAACAGGUAAAGUCAGAUUGCAAAGCAUAAGAAACUUAAAUGUGUGAGGAAAAUGACACUGAUUGUUUUUACAGCUCACAGGACGAAGCCACCAGCUACUGCUGCUAGACCUGCAGAACCGGAUGACCCCACUGUGACUGCUGCGAAAGGUUAUUAUAUUUGUUUCCUUC